UAGCCAAAUGACUUGUCAAUGGUCUUCCUAAUAAAAUUGAAUUUACUUCACAAAAAAGAUUUGGACUGCAAUGCGCGUUGAGACAGCCCAGGCGCCAGGGCCCUCCUUUCACCGGUUGAUCAUUCAUUCAAACAUGCUAAUCCUUUCCAUCAUCCAUUUAAUCCAUUAACACAAAAAAUAAGAAGACAGAAGAUAUAAGUCACCGAGGAACAUAGCAAACUCGUCUCAGCCGUCUCAUUGCGAUGAAUUGUUCCAAGAAUUUGUUAUUUGGUGAAAUUUUAAUUAUGUCUAUGUUAAUAGUAGUAUAAAUGAACGGUCAAACUGGUUGAGAUGUCGCAAAAA
This is a long non-coding RNA of Solanum lycopersicum (tomato), 342 nucleotides long. RefSeq lists it as uncharacterized. Lineage: Eukaryota; Viridiplantae; Streptophyta; Magnoliopsida; Solanales; Solanaceae. The record is from RefSeq and is a predicted model, not a curated record.